RNAcentral lists this ribosomal RNA (427 nucleotides) under uncultured prokaryote. RNAcentral's name for it is "bacterial SSU rRNA". It matches the Rfam family "Bacterial small subunit ribosomal RNA", at positions 355 to 774 of the family's 1533-position model. The record is from RNAcentral.
UAGGGAAUAUUGGGCAAUGGGCGAAAGCCUGACCCAGCGACGCCGUGUGAGGGAGGAAGGCCUUCGGGUUGUAAACCUCUAACGCCGAUCAAGAAGUGUGCUGGCGCUAACAACGCUGGUAUGCAGACGAGUCGGGGAUGAAGUCAUGGCUAACUCUGUGCCAGCAGCAGCGGUAAUACAGAGAUGACAACCGUUAUUCGGAAUCAUUGGGCGUAAAGAGCGUGUAGGCGGCUGGAUAAGUCAGAUGUGAAAGCCCUGGGCUUAACCCAGGAAGUGCAUUUGAAACUGUUCAGCUUGAGUAGGGGAGAGGAAAGUGGAAUUCCUGGUGUAGAGGUGAAAUUCGUAGAUAUCAGGAGGAACACCGGUGGCGAAGGCGACUUUCUGGCCCUAUACUGACGCUGAGACGCGAGAGCGUGGGUAGCAAACA